RNAcentral lists this ribosomal RNA (429 nucleotides) under Pseudomonadota bacterium. RNAcentral's name for it is "Proteobacteria bacterium partial 16S ribosomal RNA". It matches the Rfam family "Bacterial small subunit ribosomal RNA", at positions 355 to 776 of the family's 1533-position model. The record is from RNAcentral. Lineage: Bacteria; Pseudomonadati; Pseudomonadota.
UGGGGAAUAUUGGACAAUGGGCGAAAGCCUGAUCCAGCCACGCCGCGUGUGUGAAGAAGGUCUUCGGAUUGUAAAGCUCUUUAAGUUGGGAGGAAGGGCAGUAAGCGAAUACCUUGCUGUUUUGACGUUACCGACAGAAUAAGCACCCGCUAACUCUGUGCCAGCAGCCGCGGUAAUACAGAGGGUGCAAGCGUUAAUCGGAAUUACUGGGCGUAAAGCGCGCGUAGGUGGUUCGUUAAGUUGAAUGUGAAAGCCCCGGGCUCAACCUGGGAACGGCAGCGGAAACUGGCGGGCUAGAGUAGGGCAGAGGGUGGUGGAAUUUCCUGUGUAGCGGUGAAAUGCGUAGAUAUAGGAAGGAACACCAGUGGCGAAGGCGAGCACCUGGGCUGAUACUGACACUGAGGUGCGAAAGCGUGGGGAGCGAACAGG